UAAAGUUAUUAUUUUUACAAUAAUAUAAUGUUGUUCAUAUAUAUAAAAAGGUGUUAAAAUAUGACAUAGGACCAAAUUGCUUCGAUCCUACCAAGAGUGCACAAGGGGUGAAGAGUGGAUUCGAGGCGUGCACAUGCUUCAGAUGAAGCCAGCAAACAACCCCUUUGAAAAUUCAAUAAUGAUCCUUCCGCAGGUUCACCUACGGAAA
This 208-nucleotide unclassified non-coding RNA is filed under the name uncultured fungus. RNAcentral describes it as "sequence contains ITS1, 5.8S rRNA gene". Lineage: Eukaryota; Fungi. The record is from RNAcentral.